This 224-nucleotide long non-coding RNA is filed under the name Lathyrus oleraceus (garden pea). RNAcentral's name for it is "Pisum sativum (pea) long non-coding RNA (PSAT_LNC005182)". The record is from RNAcentral. Lineage: Eukaryota; Viridiplantae; Streptophyta; Magnoliopsida; Fabales; Fabaceae.
AUCAUCGAGAGAAAAAGAAAAAAAAAUUAUAUAUAAAUAAACUUGAAGAUUCAAAAGAAGCACGAGCCAAAGAAGGACACUCGGUUGAAAAAUAGAAAAAAAAAAAAAAGAGAAACCGAGCGAAAAAACAAAAGAAACCAACACAGUAGGUGACAUUGACUCUGAACCAAAAACCACUUGUUUCCCAUGUUUGUUUGAAUAGCCACGCCUUAACCCAAGCCAAG